This 4026-nucleotide long non-coding RNA is filed under the name Nicotiana benthamiana. RNAcentral describes it as "long non-coding RNA (NBEN_LNC036633)". Lineage: Eukaryota; Viridiplantae; Streptophyta; Magnoliopsida; Solanales; Solanaceae. The record is from RNAcentral.
AGGAAAAUAAUGAUAAGAAAAUAUAAAUAGGAUUCAAGGAUAUAAAUAGGACAAAGAAGAAGUUGGAGAAGUCAAAGAAAAUAGCAACCCCCCUCCCCCGGGUCAUCCACAAGUGCGACUUCAAUAUGUUUUCCAAUUAAUACUUGGGUAUCAACUGAAGAGUCUAUAACUCGAAGGAUCUAAAUAGGACAAAAAUAUAAAUAACAUUCAAGGAUCUAUGAGAUGGUCACAAUGUUACAAAAUUAGAGAUGACCACAUCCAAAUAAAAGGAAUAGCACAUAUAUUAGCCAAAAACAUCCGAAUAGAAGGAAAAAGACAACAACAACAACAACUACCCAGUAUAGUCCCACAAAGUGGGGUCUGGGGAGGGUAAUANNNNNNNNNNNNNNNNNNNNNNNNNNNNNNNNNNNNNNNNNNNNNNNNNNNNNNNNCAAAGUGGGGUCUGGGGAGGGUAAUAUGUAGACAGGCCUUACCCCUACCCGAAAGGGCAGAGAGGCUGUUUCCAAUCGACCAUCGGCUCAGUGGAGGAAUGGAAAAACAAAAACCAAAACAAAAGAGCAUUAGUAACUCUAGCAGAAAUAACAUAAAUAAUUAUCUAAACAUAAUAACCAUAAAUAAAAUAGCAUGCAAAUAUAUCAGAUAGUAACUACCAUAAAUAACUAUCAAAGGGAGACACAAACCAAUACACAAAUCUUCUACGGAUAUGCCUGCCAAGCCUCACCCAACCCCGGGUGAGAAGUACGAAACACUCUAGGAGCCCCUAUCCUACAACCCUUAUACUAGACCUCUAGACUUUCCUAUCAAGGGCCAUGUCCUCGGAAACCUGCAUUCUUGCCAUGUCAUUCCUAAUCACCUCUCCCCAAUGGUGCUAAUAUUGAGGAAAACCCUUAUAUAAAUCGCCUAAAAUAUCCUGCUAGCCCUAGGAAGCUGCGGACUUCUGAUGGUGUCGUAGGUCUCACACAAUUCUUUACUGUAUCGAUCUUCUGAGUGUCGACACUGAUGCCCUCGUAAGAUAUCACAUGGCCAAGGAAUGCUACUGAGUUCAGCCAGAAUUCACAUUUGGAGAGCUUAGCAUAUAACUUACAAUCCUGAAGCGUCUAUAAUACUAUCCGCAAGUGGCCCGCAUGUUACGCCUAUGAACGAGAAUACACCAGAAUGUCAUGAAUGAAUACAAUCACGAACACAUCAAGAUAGGGCCUGAAUACAGUACUCAUGAGAUCUAUAAAAGCUGCUGGGGCAUUUGUUAGCCCGAACGACAUUACAAAGAACUCAAAGUGCUCAUAUAUUGUCUAGAAGGUCGUCUUAAUAUCCUUCUCCUUAACCCUCACCUGAUGAUACCCUGAACAUAAGUCAAUAUUGGAGAAAUAGUAUCUGACAGUGUCCCUCUUGAAUAGUUGUAGUUAUAAUUACUAACUAGUCAUCCUUCUUUAAGGCCCCAACAAAUGCAACAUCUGAUUUCAUACAUUCAAGGAUCUAAUGUACAAAGAGGAAGCUAAUAGGCUCCUUUUGGAAAACUUCCAAUAGGACAUAGAUCAGAGCCCUUCUUGAAUCAAAGAAUGUCAUAUGAGGUGGUUUGGUCAUAUUAUAAGUACCCCUCCAGAAGCACCAGUUUAUAGGUGUAAAACCAUGAUAAGGUAUUAAAGCGGAAUAAGAUGGACCUAAAAUCACAUGGAAGGAAGUUCCCCUAUCUAUUAAAAUCCAUGCAGGCUUAGCGAGAAAUAGAACACAAUUGAAGGAAAAGUUCAUCACUACAGGGUGAUAUGGAAGGAGAAUCAGCUUUUGGAAUCAUAGGUGGUGUGCAGAGGAUACUCUGAGGGUCUCUUUCCCCAGGUCUUCAAAGUUUCAAACAAGAAGGAAUUGAUGGUUCAACAGAUUCGCAAGUAGCAUGAAGGGGGGCUAGUAUCUGACCUCUCAUUUAGAAGAAAUAUGCAAGAUUGGGAGAUUGCGGAGCUCCAAAAUUUGUUGGCACUGCUAUAUGGGCAAGACAGGCCCAGCCUUCUUGUGAUUUUUGGAGAAGGGGUUACGUGGCGAUGGUUUAUUUAUCGUAAAGUCCUUUAACCAGAGUAUGUUAGUGAGAGAGGAGGCCGCUUUUUCAUACUCCUUGACCAUGAUUCGUAAGGUGCCCAUGAAGGUGCGCUUUUUUGCAUGGCUAGCAACGAGGGGAGUGAUCUUGACGGGGAAUCUGCGAAAGAGAGGAAUUACACUUGUUAGUUGGUGCUACAUGUGCAAACGCUCAGGAGAAAAAGUUGAUCAUCUUUUGUUGUAUUGCCCUGUGUCCUCGGGUUUGUGUAGGGCAAUCCUGAAUCUUUUUGGUGUUCAAUGGGUGAUGUCAAGUACUGUGAAGGAAAUGUUAUAUAGCUUGACCCGUUUCCGUAGAAAAAGAAAGCAAAAGGCGUGGAAGUUCGCACCGUUAGCUCUCAUGUGGAUAAUUUGGGGGGGACAGAAAUAGGAGAACUUUUGAGGGGAUUGAGUCUCUUUUUUCACAUCUUAAGAAUAGUCUUUUAUCUUUGAUCACUUUCUGGUGCACUCACAUAGCCCCUGCUUGUAUAGACGAUUGAGCGUCAUUUGUAGAGAAUCAUGUUCUGAUAUAAAUUCUCUACUUUUUGGUACACUUCUUGUAUACGGGAGUUUUCUCCCUUUUGAUUAGUACAAGUUACCUUACAUAAAAAAAGGAAAAGUUCAUUGUUGGUAAGUUUAUGUUAGAUUCAAUGUUUGCUAAGAGUCUUCUAAUCUAUUAGAGAUCUGUAUGUUAGUAGAAAAUGUAUAUAACUUCUAGUGUUCAAGAAUUUUCAAAUUAAGAGAAACAUAUAGUGAGGAUUCACAUAAACCCUAACUAACUUGGAAUUGAGGCUUUGUUGUUGUUGUUGUCUAGCUCCAGCCAUGGCUACUAAGCUUCUUUGUUAUCCAUACUACAUAAGAGCGAAUAUGGAUUCCUUUUGGCUCUUACUUUACCACAUCACCAAACAAAGGGAUAAGUAGAUUUAACAACAGAAUUUCACCUCUAUAUUACAGUCGCUAAAUGCAUAGCAAAUAAACCUGUUAAUAUAAGGUAACACAAUUACCACUUUGACAUUAUUCAUCACCAUUUGAGAGAAACCACAUAAAUGAGAAACAUUAUCCAAUCUCUUACUCUUCAUUCAUACAAACUGAGUUGUGCAGACUAAUAACUAGCUGUUUCUCAUAUGCAUUUCUAAUUCCUCACAUGUCUCGUGCCCUUACCUUUACAAAAAGUUACAAUCAACUUCAGAUUCUAGGGGCAGUUACGAUUAGCUUGUACUAUAAAUAUCCUCCCUUCCCACGAUUGUACCCCAUUCUCAUUCUACUACUCAUACUGUUAACAUGCUGAAAUCACCGCAACACCUUUCUCUCAAUUACAAGCGUUGUUCAACAGCUUUCUUCAACCAAGGAUUGCUUAAUAAGAAAUUUUAUAUAUUUCACUACUUUUGUUUAUAUAGUUUCGAUUGCUCUCUUAUAUGUACUAGCAAAGAUUCAUCCUGUUAGUUCAAUUCAAAUUGCUUGUAGCCUAAUUCUAUAAAUUUAACUGGCUAGUCUAAUAAUCAGAUUUUAGGUUAAACUUUAUAAAUAAAUGAAAUAUUGAUCAAUCUAGUUCCUCACAUUUUGGUGUUUCACAUACCACAUAGAUGGUGUUUCACAUACCACAUAGAUGCUACCAUGUUCAAAAGUAACCAUCAUAAAUCAACAUAAUCUUAACUUCUUCAACUUAUUCACGGUGAAUUCAUAUUACUCAAUCUAGAGCUCUACACGGAAGCCAGUGACCAGUAUUCUGAGAGACAUGAACUUACUCUUUAUCAGCAAUGUGUAUUGUCGACACCAAGUCAACCUACACAAUCAAAAUUUCAAAAUCACAAUCAAACUUCAAAAAUUAAACUCAAGUAUAGUCAAAUUUUCAGUUUAUUUUGCAAAUAUGACUCAUAUCAAAGCCCUAAAUACAACAACAACAACAAUUACCCAGUAUACUCCCACCAGGUGGGGUCUGGGGAGGGUAAUAUGUAGACGAGCCUUACC